GAGUGGUGCAGAAGAGUUGAAGCGGUCUUCCCCCGCCCCGGUUUUAAUGGGAAUGUGAAGUCCCAUCGGCAUCAGUCAGAAUGGAUAUUGUCUACGAGCAUUAACAGCGUGAAGUCUGCAGGACUACGGGACACACCAUCUCCUUGUUGACGGUGAAUGAAGUGACAGAAAUGGGAUUAUGUUUGAACUUUUUUUAUUUGAUUGUGUACCUGAACAUGCACUAUGUAGAAUCGUUUGUGAAGCUGGAUUGUGUGAAGUCAGUAAUAGGAAUAUUUAACGAGGAUGCCGAACUACCAUGCAAUAUGGAAGCAGCAGGGAUGAAAACACUCACUCUAGCAAAACUACAUGCAAAUGGAUCGAGUGAUAAAAUCGUAUAUAAAUUUAACUCAAAUGAAAAUGACAGUGGAGUUCAGGGUCGAAUUAAAUUACAUCAAGAUUCACAAAAUGUGUCACUGAUAAUCCAGAAAAUAGAAGCAUCCG
Hypanus sabinus (Atlantic stingray) is the source of this 480-nucleotide long non-coding RNA. RefSeq lists it as uncharacterized. NCBI's taxonomy places the organism in Eukaryota, Metazoa, Chordata, Chondrichthyes, Myliobatiformes, Dasyatidae. The record is from RefSeq and is a predicted model, not a curated record. The transcript is spliced from 3 exons.